This 497-nucleotide ribosomal RNA is filed under the name uncultured bacterium. RNAcentral's name for it is "partial 16S ribosomal RNA". It matches the Rfam family "Bacterial small subunit ribosomal RNA", at positions 28 to 507 of the family's 1533-position model. The record is from RNAcentral.
GAUGAACGCUGGCGGCGUGCCUAAUACAUGCAAGUCGAGCGAACAGACGAGGAGCUUGCUCCUCUGACGUUAGCGGCGGACGGGUGAGUAACACGUGGAUAACCUACCUAUAAGACUGGGAUAACUUCGGGAAACCGGAGCUAAUACCGGAUAAUAUAUUGAACCGCAUGGUUCAAUAGUGAAAGACGGCUUUGCUGUCACUUAUAGAUGGAUCCGCGCCGCAUUAGCUAGUUGGUAAGGUAACGGCUUACCAAGGCGACGAUGCGUAGCCGACCUGAGAGGGUGAUCGGCCACCCUGGAACUGAGACACGGUCCAGACUCCUACGGGAGGCAGCAGUAGGGAAUCUUCCGCAAUGGGCGAAAGCCUGACGGAGCAACGCCGCGUGAGUGAUGAAGGUCUUCGGAUCGUAAAACUCUGUUAUUAGGGAAGAACAAAUGUGUAAGUAACUAUGCACGUCUUGACGGUACCUAAUCAGAAAGCCACGGCUAACUACGUG